GACGUGGAUAGUUUUGAUCGUAUUCUUAGCACUCCUUGCUAAUACCGCCAUGCUGUAAAACGAGAUGCUUACUCGCUGCUUGCAUGACGGUCAAAAAAUAACCUAAUUUUGAUUUAUUCGGGCUUACUUCCACCAAAACUUACGAUUACACAUAUUAUGUAAAACUGAGUAAAAUGCAAGCAAACUGUUUAUUGACUUCCUUCGAGCACGUGCAAUCGUUAAAUAUAUAAUAAGUUAUCAACCAAUCUAUAGUUUCACAUUGUUUUAAGUGAACAUGAAAGGGGUUAGCUUUCAAUUGUACUUUAGGCAUACCUAACGUAGUUUUAAAUAUUCUGUGUGGGAGAAAACUUUUUUCUCAGUUUUUCACAUUUUGUAAAAGCAAAAUACAAAAAGUCUUGCCGUCAAUCAAGGGUAUCGGUCGUUCAUAUCUAUAGAUCAAAAACCAUUUUUUGAAUUAAAUGUCAUGCGUCAUGUUCUGUCAGAACAAAAUCCGAUAAUAAUAACUAGCAAUGAAAAGCAGCAAUAAUUGAUUGGCCACACAAGCUCCAUGCAGCAAUAAAAGGGGCUGCUUCUUAUAGUAAAAGCCAAACAAUGAAGUGGAUACUCUGGAUCACAUUUGUAGCACUAGCUGCGGAAAGAAGUGUGCCAGCAUGUUGUAAAAAUGGUUGCCUUUUACUUGAAUGUGUAGAUGUUACAAAUUAAAAUUGUAAAUAUUUUUAUUUGGAUUUAGUUGCAUACUGAAUUACUGAAUAAAUGCAAUAGAAAGAAAUUUUGAGCAAAUUGCAAAGAAUUUGUUAACUUAGAACAUAUGCAACCAUUAACAAUUUGUAAAACAUGUAUUAGCAAGCGGCCGAGUCCAAUGUACAAUUUCUUUAUGAUGCUCAAAUGAUUUUGAAAGCUUUUACCUCUCA
Drosophila novamexicana is the source of this 911-nucleotide long non-coding RNA. RefSeq lists it as uncharacterized. The transcript is spliced from 4 exons. Lineage: Eukaryota; Metazoa; Arthropoda; Insecta; Diptera; Drosophilidae. The record is from RefSeq and is a predicted model, not a curated record.